AUUCAGCUGACGAGUCCCAAACAGGACGGAACGCGCGUCCUGGAU
Molecule: non-coding RNA, 45 nt
Filed under: Schistosoma mattheei
Lineage: Eukaryota; Metazoa; Platyhelminthes; Trematoda; Strigeidida; Schistosomatidae
Source: RNAcentral